CUUGGCAGUCUUUUAUUAUUAUUUUGUAAUAUUUUAUAUCGUAUUACGUGUUAUAAGUGCCAUUUUCAAAAUAGUGAACAAGACUAACAAUACUUCGCAAAUAUUUGUCCCCAAAAUGGCAAGACGUUUGAGGAGUGCGAAUGUAUUAUUAGAGAGAAUAAAUGAUAUCGAUGCAGAAUGUUCUGAAGAUGAUCAGGAAAUUCUGGAUAUGGAAAA
This 216-nucleotide long non-coding RNA is filed under the name Polistes fuscatus (common paper wasp). RNAcentral describes it as "uncharacterized LOC122520445". The record is from RNAcentral. Lineage: Eukaryota; Metazoa; Arthropoda; Insecta; Hymenoptera; Vespidae.